UACAUUUUUCUAUAUUAAUAUAACGCAACUAUUACUAUAGUUAUAAACUUAUAAUUAAAUCAUAAUGGGUGCUCUCUCGGUUGGAACAUCAGGCUCUUUGCUCCAGCCUAUACCGUAAGUCACCUUUUUUGCUUUUUUGUUGAUCGCUAAAUUGGGCUAGAAAACAGGCCACAUUGGGCCUAGCCCAAGUUACAAUAUAAAGUUCCAUUUAAGAAGAGUUUGUUUACACGUCCAAAAAAAAAGUUUGUUUAUUUCGUAGAGGUCCAAUUACUAUAUACAAGGGAUAGUUUGUAAGGCCAUGGGCCGAGGCCCAGUUAUUGUAACUGCCUUUAAUCCAUUGCGUAUGGUCAUUGUUACUGCAUUGGCUUGCAUCAUUCCCUCUUAAAAACUCUAUAUCUGAAGGCAAAAUUGCACCUACAUCCUGCCUUGUGCAUGCAGCAACCCAUUGGCCAGCGGUAAACUCUUAAAUAGAGCUCAGAUCUGCGACGUAUUAGUGCUUGACCUAUCGGGUUGGAAGAUACCGUGAGAAACAAAAAAAAAAAUAGUUUUUUUUUUUGUGUCUAAAAAUAUUGAUCUAAUUUUUCCUUUUUUGAUUGGGUUGAAUUAUUGUUAUACUCUAGAAGUUUUCUCUCCGUACAAAAGAGCAUUUAUCGGGGUUCCAUGGAAUCUCCAAGCAAGCAAGCUGAACAAGGCACAUCAGAAUAGGAGCUUGACCUCCUUCAUCGCAGCAAAAAGAAAGUCAGAAAGAAAGGAGAAGGGUUCUCGGGGGUGGUUGCCAGAGUUCCACGGGAGGAGCCAUGGAUGAUGGAUAAUGAACCUGCAGAAGAAGAAACAGGGGCAUGGAAAGGAAUUAGAUCUUUUGCCAAAACUGUCAAAAGGGGGCCAAAGUGCAACCGAAUGGAAGAUGGGGAAAAGAAUCCAGCACAGAAACAAGCUUUGAUGGGUGACAGUUCAUAAGAAGAGGAAAUCGAAGAAGUCCAAGACACCAUGGGAGGUUCUGACGGUAAAUAUAUGAUCAAUGGAACAUGCUUUAAAGUGGAAUAUGAGGAGCUGCACCAAAUAUGUUUUACUUGUGGAAGAGCAGAUCAUGAUUAAAAAAAUUGUAUAGUGAGAAAAAAGCAAAGGGAAAGCGAGAUAGAAGAAGGUCAGCAAAAAGAAAAUGUAGAAACAGUCAAGCAAGACAUUGAACAAGAAGGAAACAAUGGAGAUAAUGCCAACAAAGCUAAGGAGAAAGGCAAGCAAAUAACACAAUAAUCAAGUGAUAACUUUAGCCCCUAGAUGAUUGUCCAAAGGCAAAAAAGAGGUAGAAAAGGUGAUAAGGAGGGAGAUUUCAAAAAUGGGACAGGAACUAGCAAAGCGAGUGAAAAAUAUAAAGGCAAUUCCAGAUUCCAAGCUCUGGAGGUAGAAGAUGGAGAGGAAGGAGGGGAAGGGGAAGUAUCCAUGGAUAUAAAUGAGAACCCAACAACAAGAAUACAAGGAAACACAAAGCAAUAUAUAACUAAGACUAAUUCAAGGAGCAACACACAAUAGAAGCAAAAGCAGCAAGCAGGAGAAAAUCAGUAUAUCCCUGUCAUGUUUCCACAGAACCAACAAAUAAACAACCUACGAAAACAGCAGAUCAUUUCAACAGAAAGCAAGGAGGAAAGGAUAAAUAAAAAAAAUAUUGCACAGGAAAAAAUUAUCACUCUCCAUCAGAACAAUUGACAAAAUCAUAACUAUGAGAGUCCCUUUACAGAACACAUGGAAGAAGAGGUUGAGAUAACCCAGCGAGCAAAUCCUCCACAUGGAAAACCUCUUGAUCCGAUUGUGGAUGAUAAGAAUAAGAGCACAACUAGAGAUCUAGAGAUGAAAAAAACUCUAUUGAAAGACAUAGACUUCACCACCCCACCCAUCAGUGGGACAGGGGAAAAGGAAAUGCAAAUCAAUUAAUCUUCUGCCCUAGUGGUAGUUGCGGUUUCUUC
Non-coding RNA from Arachis ipaensis, 1961 nucleotides. Lineage: Eukaryota; Viridiplantae; Streptophyta; Magnoliopsida; Fabales; Fabaceae. The record is from RefSeq and is a predicted model, not a curated record.